UGCCAGCAGCCGCGGUAAGACGAAGGUGGCAACCGUUGUUCGGAAUCACUGGGCAUAAAGCGCACGUAGGCGGCAUGAAUAGUCAGGUGUGAAAGCCCUCGGCCCAACCGAGGAACUGCGCUUGAAACUGUCAUGCUUGAGGAUCGGAGGGGAGCGUGGAAUUCCUGGUGGAGCGGUGAAAUGCGUUGAUAUCAGGAGGAACACCGGCGGCGAAGGCGACGCUCUGGCCGAUUUCUGACGCUGAGGUGCGAAAGCGUGGGGAGCAAACAGGAUUAGAUA
RNAcentral lists this ribosomal RNA (279 nucleotides) under uncultured bacterium. RNAcentral's name for it is "partial 16S ribosomal RNA". It matches the Rfam family "Bacterial small subunit ribosomal RNA", at positions 506 to 784 of the family's 1533-position model. The record is from RNAcentral.